AUUGAACGCUGGCGGCAUGCCUUACACAUGCAAGUCGAACGGUAACGGGCCUUCGGGUGCCGACGAGUGGCGAACGGGUGAGUAAUGCAUCGGAACGUACCUUUCAGUGGGGGAUAACGUAGCGAAAGUUACGCUAAUACCGCAUAUUCUGUGAGCAGGAAAGCAGGGGAUCGCAAGACCUUGCGCUGAUUGAGCGGCCGAUGUCAGAUUAGCUAGUUGGUGAGGUAAAGGCUCACCAAGGCGACGAUCUGUAGCGGGUCUGAGAGGAUGAUCCGCCACACUGGAACUGAGACACGGUCCAGACUCCUACGGGAGGCAGCAGUGGGGAAUUUUGGACAAUGGGGGCAACCCUGAUCCAGCCAUGCCGCGUGAGUGAAGAAGGCCUUCGGGUUGUAAAGCUCUUUCGGUCCGGGAAGAAAUCGCAUGGGCUAAUACCCUGUGCGGAUGACGGUACCGGCAUAAGAAGCACCGGCUAACUACGUGCCAGCAGCCGG
Molecule: ribosomal RNA, 494 nt
Filed under: uncultured bacterium
Lineage: Bacteria
Description: bacterial SSU rRNA
Rfam family: Bacterial small subunit ribosomal RNA
Source: RNAcentral